Molecule: ribosomal RNA, 331 nt
Filed under: uncultured bacterium
Lineage: Bacteria
Description: bacterial SSU rRNA
Rfam family: Bacterial small subunit ribosomal RNA
Source: RNAcentral
UGUGUAGGCGGUUGUUUAAGUUUGGUGUGAAAUCUCCCGGCUCAACCGGGAGGGUGCGCCGAAUACUGAGCGACUAGAGUGCGGGAGAGGAGAGUGGAAUUCCUGGUGUAGCGGUGAAAUGCGUAGAUAUCAGGAGGAACACCGGUGGUGCAGACGGCUCUCUGGACCGCGACUGACGCUGAGACACGAAAGCGUGGGUAGCAAACAGGAUUAGAUACCCUGGUAGUCCACGCCCUAAACGAUGCAUAUUUGGUGUGGGUCAUUCAGUUGAUCCGUGCCGGAGCUAACGCGUUAAAUAUGCCGCCUGGGGAGUACAGUCGCAAGGCUAGAA